GCCUCUCCACCCAUGUGUGCUUAGCGAUUCCUCCUCUUCCCCAUAUGUCCAUGGUCCCUGAAAAACAGGAAAAGCCAAUCUACCGCAUAGCUAGAAAACCUAAAGAUCCUGCAAAAAAAGUCUAGGUCGGUUCUUCCUCAAAAGUGUGCUCACGCUCCCAAUCCCGCCGAUCUGCUGCCAUUGGCAUACGCUCCCAAUCCCCCCAACUGACCUAUUGCAAUUGGCACGUUGCUAUUGCAGCUCCUCCGCCGCUUCAUGUCGCCCUUCGUAACUUCAUGCCAUCAUCCACUUUGAAGAUCCGCAUGGUGCUGCAAUUCGUCCAAGGAGUAGGGAAGCUUGGAUCCAGCAAAAAAACUUAAUUAGUAAUUAGGCAAUGGAGUGAAGGAAGGGUGAUCUCAUCCCAACGCCCAAACCUUGUUCGAUUCCAUCUAUGGCCGAUUCGUACGCCCAUCCACAGGCAAGUAACUCUCUUCUCUUCCUUGAUGAAUUCGUCCUCUGUUCUCCUCCUUGAUGAAUUCAUCCGAGAGCACCCAAAUAAUUUUGCUUUAUCUGUGAUCUCUCAUCAAGGAAAAAACUGCUCUGUAUAUGUGUUUCACAUCACAACGCUUACGAGAUUAAGAAAUAUAGGAAGCUAUGAAGAAUGGGCCAGUUACAGUAUUCAGAUAUCAUAUAUAGCUGCCACUUACAGAAAAUAUGAUUACAAGUAGGAUUUACAAUCGUUUCCUCAAAUCAUUAAAUGGGUAGCUAUUGUGAGUUCCAGUAUGGUCGUUUAUUGAUCACAAAGGAAUUGCUUCUGCCAUUGGAAGUAUGACAUGAGUCCUGACUUCUGCAGAAUGUGCAUCUUAUCUUCACUGAUAUAAACAAUCUCGGGACAUUAUGGAGGCAUCAGAUGAUCGGGGGGAUCGACAAUGGGAGGCUACCACGACAAGCAACUAGCAAAGAAAGAGGAGCUCUGGACUAGGCAUUACAUGCUGGACACCAUGGACUGAAAACAUGAGACAUGGAUUGACACGGGAACGAUGUAUUACAAUUCCGUUUCCCAUAUAAUCUAAAAGGAUGAGUUGGGCUUCCUUUCAUGAGCUUCUUUUCUGUAAGGUUCAUGUAUAGAGAAAGAAGAAACAAAUAUAAACAUUAUAGCCUAGAUGAGGAAUUGAGGAUAACGGUGGUUUAUCUCAAUGCCACAUGUUUAGUUGGUGGAGCAUGCUCUUGGAGUACGCAUGGAAAUUAACUUGAUGGAAGAAAUAACAUGGCAAUAAGGUGGCUAGAUUUUUCUGUUCUAUUACACAGUACAUUUAUGUUUAUUUAAAAUCAAUUGCCAGAAAAUUUCAUGUUCCAAUGAAGGGGAUUUUUUCCCCAUGAUUUGGUGUUCCUUUUUCUUUCGAUUUAAUAUGUGCUUCCAGUGUGCAUUGAGAACAUAUGUAAUCAUUUUGAUCUAAGUGGCGGAAGGUUCCAACGCGAGUCAUUAUUA
Long non-coding RNA from Triticum aestivum (bread wheat), 1468 nucleotides. RefSeq lists it as uncharacterized. NCBI's taxonomy places the organism in Eukaryota, Viridiplantae, Streptophyta, Magnoliopsida, Poales, Poaceae. The transcript is spliced from 7 exons. The record is from RefSeq and is a predicted model, not a curated record.